GAUGAACGCUGGCGGCAUGCCUAAUACAUGCAAGUCGAACGAGAGGAAGGAAAGCUUGCUUUUCUGAAUCUAGUGGCGAACGGGUGAGUAACACGUAGGUAACCUGCCCAUGUGCCCGGGAUAACUUCUGGAAACGGAUGCUAAAACCGGAUAGGUAGCAGACAAGCAUUUGACUGCUAUUAAAGUGGCUAAGGCCAUGAACAUGGAUGGACCUGCGGGGCAUUAGCUAGUUGGUGAGGUAACGGCCCACCAAGGCGACGAUGCAUAGCCGGCCUGAGAGGGCGGGCGGCCACAUUGGGACUGAGACACGGCCCAAACUCCUACGGGAGGCAGCAGUAGGGAAUUUUCGUCAAUGGGGGGAACCCUGAACGAGCAAUGCCGCGUGAGUGAGGAAGGUCUUCGGAUCGUAAAGCUCUGUUGUAAGAGAAAAACGACAUUCAUAGGGAAUGAUGAGUGAGUGAUGGUAUCUUACCAGAAAGUCACGGCUAACUACGUGCCAGCAGCCGCAGUAA
This 512-nucleotide ribosomal RNA is filed under the name uncultured bacterium. RNAcentral's name for it is "partial 16S ribosomal RNA". It matches the Rfam family "Bacterial small subunit ribosomal RNA", at positions 28 to 523 of the family's 1533-position model. The record is from RNAcentral.